This 253-nucleotide ribosomal RNA is filed under the name uncultured bacterium. RNAcentral's name for it is "partial 16S ribosomal RNA". It matches the Rfam family "Bacterial small subunit ribosomal RNA", at positions 524 to 776 of the family's 1533-position model. The record is from RNAcentral.
UACGAAGGGGGCUAGCGUUGCUCGGAAUCACUGGGCGUAAAGCGCACGUAGGCGGCUUUCUAAGUCAGGGGUGAAAUCCUGGAGCUCAACUCCAGAACUGCCUUUGAUACUGGGAAGCUCGAGUCCGGAAGAGGUGAGUGGAACUCCGAGUGUAGAGGUGAAAUUCGUAGAUAUUCGGAGGAACACCAGUGGCGAAGGCGGCUCACUGGUCCGGUACUGACGCUGAGGUGCGAAAGCGUGGGGAGCAAACAGG